Molecule: ribosomal RNA, 482 nt
Filed under: uncultured bacterium
Lineage: Bacteria
Description: partial 16S ribosomal RNA
Rfam family: Bacterial small subunit ribosomal RNA
Source: RNAcentral
AUUGAACGCUGGCGGCAUGCUUUACACAUGCCAGUCGAACGGUAAACGCACUUCGGUGGCUGCCGGGUGGCGAACGGUUGUGUAUUACUUCGGAACGGGCCUGGAAGUGGGGGGUAACUACUCGAAAGAGUGGCUAAUACCGCAUGAGACCUAAGGUUGAAAGCCGGGAACCUUCGGCCUUUCCGCUACUAGGGGGGCUAAUGGCAGAUUGGGUAGUUGGUGGGAUAAAAGCUUACCAAGCCGACGAUCUGAAGCUGGUCUGAGGGGACGACCCGCCACACUGGGAGUGAGACACGGCCCAGACUCCGACGGGAGGCAGCAGUGGGGAAUUUUGGACAAUGGGCGCAAGCCUGAUCCAGCAAUGCCGCGUGCAGGAUGAAGGCCUGCGGGUGGUAAACUGCUUUUGUACGGAACGAAAAGCCCUCUUCUAAUACAGGAGGGUCAUGACGGUACCGUAAGAAUAAGCACCGGCUAACUACGUG